GUCCACGCUGUAAACGAUGAGAGCUAGUUGUCGGCACGCAUGCGUGUCGGUGACGCAGCUAACGCAUUAAGCUCUCCGCCUGGGGAGUACGGCCGCAAGGUUAAAACUCAAAGAAAUUGACGGGGGCCCGCACAAGCGGUGGAGCAUGUGGUUUAAUUCGAAGCAACGCGAAGAACCUUACCCACGUUUGACAUGUCCCGUAUGGUCGGCAGAGAUGCCUUCCUUCAGUUCGGCUGGCGGGAACACAGGUGCUGCAUGGCUGUCGU
This 266-nucleotide ribosomal RNA is filed under the name uncultured bacterium. RNAcentral describes it as "partial 16S ribosomal RNA". It matches the Rfam family "Bacterial small subunit ribosomal RNA", at positions 793 to 1055 of the family's 1533-position model. The record is from RNAcentral.